CCUACGGGAGGCUGCAGUGAGGAAUAUUGGUCAAUGGGCGAGAGCCUGAACCAGCCAAGCCGCGUGAGGGAGUACUGCCCUAUGGGUUGUAAACCUCUUUUGUCGGGGAGCAAAAGCCGGACGUGUCCGGCUGUGAGAGUACCCGAAGAAAAAGCAUCGGCUAACUCCGUGCCAGCAGCCGCGGUCAUACGGGGGAUGCGAGCGUUAUCCGGAUUUAUUGGGUUUAAAGGGUUCGCAGGCGGAUUUUAAAGUCAGCGGUAAAAUCGUGGGGCUCAACCCCAUCCAGCCGUUGAACCUGGGGAUCUAGAGUGUGCGAAAGGUAUGCGGAAUGCGUGGUGUAGCGGUGAAAUGCAUAGAUAUCACGCAGAACCCCGAUUGCGAAGGCAGCAUACCGGUGCACAACUGACGCUCAGGCACGAAAGCGUGGGUAUCGAACAGGAUUAGAUACCCUGGUAGUC
RNAcentral lists this ribosomal RNA (458 nucleotides) under uncultured bacterium. Its description in RNAcentral is "partial 16S ribosomal RNA". It matches the Rfam family "Bacterial small subunit ribosomal RNA", at positions 338 to 795 of the family's 1533-position model. The record is from RNAcentral.